AUGGCCUCGCCUACGACGCCGACGAAGUCCACCGGCGCCCAGGAGGAAGCCGCGGCCCGCCAGUCGCUCAUCGGGAUCUCCCAGUCCAUCCCGGCGGCGGGAGAGGCCCUGAGCGUCAAGUCGCCGAACGGCCGCACGGAACACGGGCAGGACGACAGCGGGGCGGCCGACAAGUCCAGGUCGAUGCUCAUGUCCAUCUCCAACCAGUCGCCGGAGGCGCGCCAGCCCACGCCGUGCCCGCACAGCAAUGCCGCUUAG
This 258-nucleotide ribosomal RNA is filed under the name Triticum aestivum (bread wheat). Its description in RNAcentral is "partial small subunit ribosomal RNA". Lineage: Eukaryota; Viridiplantae; Streptophyta; Magnoliopsida; Poales; Poaceae. The record is from RNAcentral.